This 696-nucleotide ribosomal RNA is filed under the name uncultured bacterium. RNAcentral's name for it is "bacterial SSU rRNA". It matches the Rfam family "Bacterial small subunit ribosomal RNA", at positions 32 to 715 of the family's 1533-position model. The record is from RNAcentral.
AACGCUAGCUACAGGCUUAACACAUGCAAGUCGCGGGGUAACAUCUGGGAGAGCUUGCUCUUCCAGGAUGACGACCGGCGCACGGGUGAGUAACGCGUAUCCAACCUGGCCCAUACCACGGGAUAGCCCGUCGAAAGGCGGAUUAAUACCGUAUGCUGUCAUUAAGAGGCAUUUUUUGAUGACGAAAGGACUGGCGGUAUGGGAUGGGGAUGCGUCUGAUUAGCUUGUUGGCGGGGUAACGGCCCACCAAGGCGACGAUCAGUAGGGGUUCUGAGAGGAAGGUCCCCCACAUUGGAACUGAGACACGGUCCAAACUCCUACGGGAGGCAGCAGUGAGGAAUAUUGGUCGAUGGGCGCAAGCCUGAACCAGCCAAGUAGCGUGAGGGAAGACUGCCCUACGGGUUGUAAACCUCUUUUGUUUGGGAAUAAAGUGCGGGACGUGUCCCGCAUUGCAUGUACCAUUUGAAUAAGGACCGGCUAAUUCCGUGCCAGCAGCCGCGGUAAUACGGAAGGUCCGGGCGUUAUCCGGAUUUAUUGGGUUUAAAGGGAGCGCAGGCGGUCUUAUAAGCGUGACGUGAAAUGCCGCGGCUCAACCGUGGCACUGCAGCGCGAACUGGAUGACUUGAGUGCGCGGGAGGUAGGCGGAAUUCGUGGUGUAGCGGUGAAAUGCUUAGAUAUCACGAAGAACUCCGAUUG